GUCUGUUGCUCAGUGGUAAAGCACAUGCUUGGUACGCUAGAUAUCUCAGGUUCAAUCCCUGCCAUUAACA
Molecule: non-coding RNA, 70 nt
Organism: Phrynosoma platyrhinos (Desert horned lizard)
Lineage: Eukaryota; Metazoa; Chordata; Lepidosauria; Squamata; Phrynosomatidae
Source: the annotation of a GenBank genome assembly